UGGGGAAUUUUGGACAAUGGGCGAAAGCCUGAUCCAGCAAUGCCGCGUGUGUGAAGAAGGCCUUCGGGUUGUAAAGCACUUUUGUCCGGAAAGAAAUCCUUGGCUCUAAUACAGUCGGGGGAUGACGGUACCGGAAGAAUAAGCACCGGCUAACUACGUGCCAGCAGCCGCGGUAAUACGUAGGGUGCAAGCGUUAAUCGGAAUUACUGGGCGUAAAGCGUGCGCAGGCGGUUUGCUAAGACCGAUGUGAAAUCCCCGGGCUCAACCUGGGAACUGCAUUGGUGACUGGCAGGCUAGAGUAUGGCAGGAGGGGGGUAGAAUUCCACGUGUAGCAGUGAAAUGCGUAGAGAUGUGGAGGAAUACCGAUGGCGAAGGCAGCCCCCUGGGCCAAUACUGACGCUCAUGCACGAAAGCGUGGGGAGCAAACAGGAUUAGAUACCCUGGUAGUCCACGCCCUAAACGAUGUCAACUAGUUGUUGGGGAUUCAUUUCCUUAGUAACGUAGCUAACGCGUGAAGUUGACCGCCUGGGGAGUA
RNAcentral lists this ribosomal RNA (535 nucleotides) under uncultured bacterium. RNAcentral's name for it is "partial 16S ribosomal RNA". It matches the Rfam family "Bacterial small subunit ribosomal RNA", at positions 355 to 882 of the family's 1533-position model. The record is from RNAcentral.